RNAcentral lists this ribosomal RNA (254 nucleotides) under uncultured bacterium. Its description in RNAcentral is "partial 16S ribosomal RNA". It matches the Rfam family "Bacterial small subunit ribosomal RNA", at positions 524 to 776 of the family's 1533-position model. The record is from RNAcentral.
UACGGAGGGGGCAAGCGUUGUUCGGAAUUACUGGGCGUAAAGGGCGCGCAGGCGGCUGCUCAAGUCAGGCGUGAAAGGCCUGGGCUCAACCCGGGAAUUGCGCUUGAGACUGGGCUGGCUUGAGUGCGGGAGAGGAUGGUGGAAUUCCCAGUGUAGUGGUGAAAUACGUAGAGAUUGGGAAGAACACCAGUGGCGAAGGCGGCUAUCUGGACGGUUUCUGACGCUAAGACGCGAAAGCGUGGGGAGCAAACAGG